Molecule: long non-coding RNA, 3213 nt
Filed under: Xyrichtys novacula (pearly razorfish)
Lineage: Eukaryota; Metazoa; Chordata; Actinopteri; Labriformes; Labridae
Source: RNAcentral
AUACGGCGGUGAAGUUAGUUUUAGGUUGGAUAUAUUUUCCUGUAAAUACGGCGGUGAAGUUAGUUUUAGGUUGGAUAUAUUUUCCUGUAAAUACGGCGGUGAAGUUGGUUUCAGGUUGGAUAUAUUUUCCUGUAAAUACGGCGGUGAAGUUAGUUUUAGGUUGGAUAUAUUUUCCUGUAAAUACGGCGGUGAAGUUAGUUUCAGGUUGGAUAUAUUUUCCUGCAAAUACGGCGGUGAAGUUAGUUUUAGGUUGGAUAUAUUUUCCUGUAAAUACGGCGGUGAAGUUAGUUUCAGGUUGGAUAUAUUUUCCUGUAAAUACAGCGGUGAAGUUAGUUUCAGGUUGGAUAUAUUUUCCUGUAAAUACGGCAGUGAAGUUAGUUUUAGGUUGGAUAUAUUUUCCUGUAAAUACGGCGGUGAAGUUAGUUUCAGGUUGGAUAUAUUUUCCUGUAAAUACGGCGGUGAAGUUAGUUUCAGGUUGGAUAUAUUUUCCUGUAAAUACGGCGGUGAAGUUAGUUUCAGGUUGGAUAUCUGACGGACAUUCUCUGAGGAUCUACCGGUGUCUUCUCUCUCUCCAUAACCGGGAAUAACAACAGCAGCGCGGUUAAAUCUACUCGACACCCUCACUGUCAACGUCGGUGUUGAAUAAGGGACCGUCAAUAAAUUACCGGUUGAUGUUCUUAGAAAAGGCUGUUUUCCUUCAAUAGCUUCACUGUCAUGUGACCAAAAGACCUAAAACUGAUUUCUAAUAAUAGUACUAAGGUCGAUCAAUAAGACAAACAUUAUUGAUCAGUUUUCAUUGAUCCCCUAAAGUUCUUUGUGCUCCUUACUUUUUUAACUCAGGAGAACAUGUGAACAAAGUUUGAGUCAAACCCUGAUAUCUGAGGACAAACUCCCCCCAACACACACACACACACACGUGUCCACCUGUGAAUUAGAGCUCACACAGAGUCCAAACUUUGCUCUCCAGAAUCGAUCAGAGAUGAAAACCACAAACAUCCUUAUCAGCAGGAAGAGAGCGGCGCCGACCCAAUCAGAGCCGCUGACCCGCUUCUUCUUCACUUUGGGUCACUAAUGAGGUCAUGAACACAGAGCAUGAUCCACACAUGUUCAGCAGGUGGGACCAGGUUCAGGUGAGAGAGAGAGAGAGAGAGAGGGAGAGAGCGCAGCGAUGGGCGAGUGACAUAGAGGUGAAGCUAAGAGAGCGAGUGAUGAAAACGAAGCAGAGAGAGGGAAAUGGAGGAGUCCGUACAGACGCUGAUUAAAGACACAAAAACUCACUCUCAUUAAUUUACCAUGUCUCGUUUACAGCACAGCCAGCCAAUCAGAGAGGGUUGUGGGCGGGGCAUCAGGAGACAUGGUGGCGCUGAAGCCGAUCAUCAGUCUACCUUUACUAAAAACGAAAUGUUAUCGGAGUGUAGGAGUCACAUGACUGUUACUCCUCUAAAGAAUAAACUAGAAUAUGAACCUUUGUUAAAUGAGUCAGGGUCGCUCUGACAGUCACAGGUGUGUUUGAGUGAACUUUGACCUUUUUUCCAUCAGCGUGGCGGUACUUCUGUGUUUGAAAUGUCCCACAGUAACUGCAGAGCUGUGCUCCUCAGGGUUUCUCAGAUCUUUGACAGGUCAGCUGAUUCUUGUUCCUCCUCUUUACAUUUUAUUUUUCAGGAAAUCAAACUGACUCAGACUUUUCCUUAAAUUACAUUUUCUUCUUUUUGAAACUAUCUGAUGUUUUUAUUUCUGUCUCAUUUUAUGUUGAAUGGUUCUUGUGUUGUCUCGGUUCUUUAUGACAAGAAAAUGACCUUUAUUUCUGUUUUAAAUGAGUUUUUUCAUGUUCUUUAUGUCAAAACACUUAAUAAACUUCUGUUUUUAAAAGUGCUGUAAAAAUAAAGUUAUUAUUAUUAUUAUUAUUAUUAUGAUUGAAUGUGUAAAACUUCUUGUCAGUAAACCUGGAGUAACUAAUGUGAUGAAUGGUCCCAGUAUUGGUCUCUUCCUCUCCCUGCAGUGAUUUACAGCUCACUGUUUUGAGUGACAGAGGAAUCUCAGCUCCUCUCUCCUCACUAACCCCUUCAGGUGAAGCACCUGAGAUGAACUAUUUGAGGUGUAAACAUGAACUGAAAUAACCGCCGCCGCCGCAGUUCCUCUCAGGUAGAUUGACAGGGCGGUGAGUCAGCCCUGCCCACAGACAUCAUGUACAGGACUGGAGGCGUGUACAGAGCAGCGCUGUCAGUCUGGUUGUGUCAUGUCAGGUCACAUACAGUGAAAUACCAUCUCGCUAAACGCCUCGUAAAUUCUUUUAACGAUGACACAGCAGGUAAGGGCAGAGACAGUGAAAUAACUACCUGUUCAGGUGCACAACUCUUCAUGAGACUGCUACGACAAUUCACCAACGUCUCAGGAGGAGGUCUAACAGUCCUGCAGAGACCCAGGAUCAGGUCCACACACCUGGUCCCGGUCUCUAGCUGUGCUUCAGAACCACACAACAGAUGAGAAAAUAAAAACGUGGACAUACUGCAGACCAAGUGUCUGAUGUAUUUAGAUAAAGGUCAUAAUAACCAUCGAUCCAUGUAAGAUUACAGGUCCAGUUAACUGAAGACUCACCUCUGAAUAUUUGCUCCAGUCUGAGUCUGUAGUCUCUUUAAUGUCAGUUCUGACCCGGUUCUUCAGAACCCUCUUUCCUGGUUCUGUUAGUCACUCUGAUGUGUUCACACUUAUAAUCGGUUUUAUUUCCAUUCAGUUCAACUCAAAACACUUCAACACAGAUUUACACUGUCUGAUGAAGUGGAAGUUAAACCUCAGAAACACAAAUUAAAAACGUUCAUUCAGAUUUAGAGCCUCAUCAUAUCGUUGCAUUCACGUGCUGUCUGAAAAUCGGAGAAUAGAGCUUCAGAAACGGGAAAUAUGUAAACUUGAAAACUUGAAACCUGGAGGGAAAACGAACUGGGAAGACCCUCUGUUUCUGUUCCACCAGUUUGACCAGUUAACAAUACCAACCUGAUUUUACAGGUAUAGAAAGUACACGUUAGCCUGGUGAUCAAUAACUGCAAUGGUUCGACUAUUUGUCGUUGAAAAAGGCUUCUUCAUUAUUUCUUUGAGUCCAGGUAAUGUUUUCUUACUCAGCUCUGAAAGAAAAACAACAACACACCUUUCUUUUUCCACCACAGCUGUCUGAAAAUUAGGAUUACAAAGCUCAACGUCGGAAAACGACACCCAAAGUGG